RNAcentral lists this long non-coding RNA (544 nucleotides) under Phasianus colchicus (ring-necked pheasant). RNAcentral describes it as "lncRNA (ENSPCLG00000002809.1)". Lineage: Eukaryota; Metazoa; Chordata; Aves; Galliformes; Phasianidae. The record is from RNAcentral.
AUGUGCUUAGGACAUUCAGCUUUUUUUUUUUUUUUUUUUUUUUUUUUUUUUUUUUUUUCCACAGAGAAGAUAACCUUUCAGCCUGGUGUCAGCAGUAGGUCUGGUUCAUAUGGAUGUUACCACCCAUGGUCUCUGCUUUCUGAGGAGGAAGAUCCCAUGCAUCCUUAUACAGAGAACAGAAGAUGAUCAGGAAAAAACAGUCAGUGACCUGAAAACCAGAAAUUUUUAGACAAAAUCUGCAAAAGGUAGGUAUUUUUAAUACAGUAGAUUCUCAAAAUAACAAUAGUCCUAAAGUACUGUGGGUUCUUCAAAAUAAUCAAAGCCAGAAGCAACAAAAAAAAAAAAUCCCCACAAAACUCACAAUUAAAAGAUAGGGGAAAAGCAGUAGGGCACAUAGAAUAGAUGUAAGAAAGCCAAAGAAGAGGAUAAACCAUGGGUGAGAAUGAAGACAUAUGUGACUGGGUAAGUUCUUUAAGAGAAAAUGAUCCAUGAGCUUGGGCUGCGUGUGAUCUUUAAAAAUAAAGACAGCAGAACACAGAGGUCA